AGAGUUUGAUCCUGGCUCAGGAUGAACGCUAGCGGCAGGCUUAACACAUGCAAGUCGAGGGGCAUCGGGAGGGAAGCUUGCUUUCCUUGCCGGCGACCGGCGCACGGGUGAGUAACACGUAUGCAACCUGCCCCCUUCAGGGGGACAACCUUCCGAAAGGGAGGCUAAUCCCGCGUAUAUCGGUUUCGGGCAUCCGAGAUCGAGGAAAGAUUCAUCGGAAGAGGAUGGGCAUGCGGCGCAUUAGCUAGACGGCGGGGUAACGGCCCACCGUGGCGACGAUGCGUAGGGGUUCUGAGAGGAAGGUCCCCCACACUGGUACUGAGACACGGACCAGACUCCUACGGGAGGCAGCAGUGAGGAAUAUUGGUCAAUGGGAGAGAUCCUGAACCAGCCAAGCCGCGUGAGGGAAGACGGCCCUAUGGGUUGUAAACCUCUUUUGUCAGAGAACAAAACCCGGGACGAGUCCCGGACUGCGUGUAUCCGAAGAAAAAGCAUCGGCUAACUCCGUGCCAGCAGCCGCGGUAAUACGGAGGAUGCGAGCGUUAUCCGGAUUUAUUGGGUUUAAAGGGUGCGUAGGCGGUCCGUUAAGUCAGCGGUAAAAUUGCGGGGCUCAACCCCGUCGAGCCGUUGAAACUGGCAGACUUGAGUUGGCGAGAAAUACGGCGGAAUGCGCGGUGUAGCGGUGAAAUGCAUAGAUAUCGCGCAGAACUCUGAUUGCGAAAGGCAGCGUACCGGCGCCAGACUGACGCUGAGGCACGAAAGCGUGGGGAUCGAACAGGAUUAGAUACCCUGGUAGUCCACGCAGUAAACGAUGAAUGCUGGUUGUCCGGGUCGAAUGAGACCUGGGCGGCGAAGCGAAAGCGAUAAGCAUUCCACCUGGGGAGUACGCCGGCAACGGUGAAACUCAAAGGAAUUGACGGGGGCCCGCACAAGCGGAGGAACAUGUGGUUUAAUUCGAUGAUACGCGAGGAACCUUACCCGGGCUCAAACGGGAGUGGAAUGGAUCAGAGACGGUUCAGCCUACGGGCCGCUUCCGAGGUGCUGCAUGGUUGUCGUCAGCUCGUGCCGUGAGGUGUCGGCUUAAGUGCCAUAACGAGCGCAACCCCCGCCGGCAGUUGCUAACGGGCAAUGCCGAGGACUCUGCCGGGACUGCCGCCGCAAGGCGUGAGGAAGGCGGGGAUGACGUCAAAUCAGCACGGCCCUUACGUCCGGGGCGACACACGUGUUACAAUGGGCGGUACAGCGGGAAGCCAGGCGGCGACGCCGAGCGGAACCCGAAAGCCGUUCUCAGUUCGGAUCGGAGUCUGCAACCCGACUCCGUGAAGCUGGAUUCGCUAGUAAUCGCGCAUCAGCCAUGGCGCGGUGAAUACGUUCCCGGGCCUUGCACUCACCGCCCGUCA
Molecule: ribosomal RNA, 1400 nt
Filed under: uncultured bacterium
Lineage: Bacteria
Description: 16S ribosomal RNA
Rfam family: Bacterial small subunit ribosomal RNA
Source: RNAcentral